UAAUUGAAGAGUUUGAUCAUGGCUCAGAUUGAACGCUGGCGGCAGGCUUAACACAUGCAAGUCGAGCGGUAACACA
RNAcentral lists this ribosomal RNA (76 nucleotides) under Serratia marcescens. RNAcentral's name for it is "partial 16S ribosomal RNA". It matches the Rfam family "Bacterial small subunit ribosomal RNA", at positions 1 to 76 of the family's 1533-position model. Lineage: Bacteria; Pseudomonadati; Pseudomonadota; Gammaproteobacteria; Enterobacterales; Yersiniaceae. The record is from RNAcentral.